Molecule: long non-coding RNA, 2027 nt
Organism: Contarinia nasturtii (swede midge)
Lineage: Eukaryota; Metazoa; Arthropoda; Insecta; Diptera; Cecidomyiidae
Exons: 2
Source: RefSeq, a predicted model, not a curated record
ACCAUUUCAUCUAUUUUGCUUUUUUGAUACUUUGUGUAACAUUUGUCACUUUUGUGUAACAUUUUUCACACGCGUGUAUAACAAUUGUCACUUUUGUGUAACAAAAGUUUUCUCCCAAUGAAUACCUUCUCCAUUUAGCAACAUUCCAUUGAAUGAUGCAACCGUCUUUUAUUUUUUUCGCAAAAAAACGCCUGAUUUGUGAUCCUCCUGAGGUUAUUAUCCUCGCCGCAUUUGUUUUUCAAUUUUUUCAUAUUUUUGCUAGACCCUAGUAGGGUCACCCUACUGGUCAUGCUGUAAUCUGGAGACCGUCCCCGAUCAGAAAUGGUGGGUGCUUCACACACGACCACUGUCGCACAGUGUAUAUAUAUUAAUUGAAUAGUUUGAAUUAAACAUUUGACACGAAAAUAUUUUGUGCGUUUCAGGGGUAAUAUAAAUGUGUGAAAUGUGACAUAUUGUAUCUUCACUCGGUGAUAUAAAAAUAAGCAUACGGUUGCACAAAAAAAUAAUAAUAAUAGUGACUGCACCGUACAGCGUUCCUUCGCUUGAUGGUUUAAUUUUAUCUGCAUCCAUAAAAAUAAUCGAAGUGACACACUAGUCCGGUUCCAAAUCAGUGUUUCAAAUGUUUCAUUGUCAAUUCAUUCAAUUACAAUUACCACUAAAUAAUGCAAAUAAAAAAUUCUGAAAUUCUGAGGUUAUCAAUAGUUGUUUGAAUUAACACAACGGUAACCCAUGUCAUCAAUCGAUUUUUGGUAUACAGGAUGUUAUGUAAUUCAUAGACCAUGGAGAGUGCAGAAAUGAAUGGAAAUAGACACAAGUGAACUACGAACAACGAACAAAUAUACACGGGCACACUGUUUAAAUACAGAGAUUUUAUUUGAUAUCGAAAGAGCAGUUUUUAUUUCAGUCGAUUUCAUAACAAAAAGGAGAAUGUAAUAUGACAUUUUGGGCAAAUGGAAAAUGCAGAUCUAAUUACGAUCCUAUUUUCAAAACGAGGCGUGAAAACAACGAUUCACUUCUAUAAUGUUGCAGCUACUCCAUCAAUAAACUUAUCCAAUUCAGAUAAAAGUUCUUUAUUUUUCACCUCAUUCCGCCUUUUAAUAAAUGUAGACAGAGCAUCACUAGAAUAAAAUUCAAAUGAAUUUAAUAUUGAAAAUGAAUAAAAUUCUUUUAUUUUAACUCUAUCACAUACCAUUGUUUCUUUAAACGACUGAGCACAUCUUUUCGUUUUUUUAAGCUCCUCAAAAUAUAUAAUCAAAUCAUCACCUUUGGAAUCAUGCCUUUAAGUUAAAGUUAACAUUUUAAAUAAUGAUAGCAUAAGGAGAUCAUAUUUUUUGAACUUACAUCUUUUUAACCGCUUCUCGUCUCAACGCUCCACCUGCUUUAGUGAAUUUCGAUAUUUGUGUAUUGAAUUCUGAUUCGCGCUUGGAUCUCUUUGGUCUAUGGGAAUCUGGACUCAGAGUCGAUUCGGAAGUUGAAUUUGAAUCAGUUAGAUCAUUCAGCGAACCAUUGAUAACUGGAGAAAGCUUUUUCUUUGAUGCAUUUUUCGCAGUUGUAUCACGCGAUUCAAAUUCUUCACUGAAAAAAAAAAUUGCAAUAAAUGUAAUUUUGAAAUUACGAAGAAAAAUUUGUGCAAUACUAACAUAAGCUUGGAUAACGAAUCAUUAGUUUCUUUGAUAAGUUCAAUCAAAUACGCCCUUUCUCCACAAAUCGAUCAUCAAUUCCACCUAAUCGGCUGUCAAACAGAAGAAAAUGUGAAAAAAAUAUUACAAAUAUAUAUAAACAUUGCUUUUCAAAAAACUUACACACACAUAAUUUUCAUUUGAGUUUCAACAUCUAUAGAGGCAAGAUCCAAACAUAUUACCUUGCUCAUUUUUCGACGCGGUGUUCCACAUGUAGAUAUAAAUCCAAUUUGACCAGACGAUGUCGAGGAUUGAUUAAUGGAUGUGGUCAUUGUUUUUGAAUUUUUUUCUUUCAACUAUUCCGAACAAAAUAUGUAAUGAAUAUAAUAAUAUAAAUUUUGAAUCAUC